This 272-nucleotide unclassified non-coding RNA is filed under the name Hevea brasiliensis (rubber tree). Lineage: Eukaryota; Viridiplantae; Streptophyta; Magnoliopsida; Malpighiales; Euphorbiaceae. The record is from RNAcentral.
GGGGACUUGUAGUAAUACGGAGGAGAUGGAGACUUCUUUGGAGGAGGGGGUGAUGGGUUGUGGUACGGGGGUGGCGGCGAGGGAGAUGGUGGAGGUGGGGACUUGUAGUAAUACGGAGGAGAUGGUGACUUAUUUGGAGGAGGGGGUGAUGGGUAGUGUUAUGGGGUGACUUCUUUGGAGGAGGGGGUGAUGGGUAGUGGUAUGGAGUUGGUGGUGAGGGAGAUGGUGGAGGUGGAGACUUAUAAUAAUAAGAAGGUGAUGGUGGAGGUGGG